RNAcentral lists this ribosomal RNA (301 nucleotides) under uncultured bacterium. RNAcentral describes it as "partial 16S ribosomal RNA". It matches the Rfam family "Bacterial small subunit ribosomal RNA", at positions 509 to 809 of the family's 1533-position model. The record is from RNAcentral.
CAGUCGCCGCGGGAAUACGAAGGGUGCAAGCGUUACUCGGAAUUACUGGGCGUAAAGCGUGCGUAGGUGGUGGUUUAAGUCCGUUGUGAAAGCCCUGGGCUCAGCCUGGGAAUUGCAGUGGAUACUGGGUCACUAGAGUGUGGUAGAGGGUAGUGGAAUUUCCGGUGUAGCAGUGAGAUGCGUAGAGAUCGGAAGGAACAUCUGUGGCGAAGGCGACUAUCUGGGCCAACACUGACACUGAGGCACUAAAGCGUGGGGAGCAAACAGGAUUAGAUACCCCUGUAGUCCCUGUCUCUUAUAU